UGCCCUGAAGCUGAGACCUCCCACAUGAGGGGUCCCCCCUCCUUUUACAGUGGGAGCUCCAUGAGAGCCCAGACUGGCUUCCUUAGCUGUCUGCAUCCCCAGGGAUUGGCACGUCCACGGGAGGCCUUUGGGCUGCCUGAGCCCUGGAGAGCAAGGAGCAGAGACACACAGUGGGCUAACAUAGCGUAUCUCCCAGGUCUGGGAAACCAUAGGUCAAGGAAGGAGAAAGUCGUUUGGAGAUUUCCCAUUCCAAGCAGAGCCGACUGAGGCCCAGGCUUGGCAAAGACUGGCCAUGUUUCCCAAAUAGGCAGCCACAGUUCACAAGAACAUCCGCAGGGCAGGGAAGGAGGCGGGGGUCUGACAACUGCCAAGCCUGUCACUCUGAAGACCAGGCAAGGAAAGGAAGAAGAGGUCUGCAUCUGAAUGGGAGAUAUCAUCUGCCCAACGAAGAGAGAGAAGCUCCUGCUUCAGAUGCGGGAGUCUACCCAGGGCCCUGGCUCCUCAUUCCUGGGAGCUAGGAUCCCAGCUGGUAAAGGGGCAGGGGUGGGUGUGGGGUGAUUGUGAGGGAGAAGGGAAAGGGCUAGGGGAGGCCUGAGGCUCUCAGCAGGGGGCAAGGUGAGUGUCAAGGGACAAAUGCCCUUUCAGCUGUCUGGAAGAAUGGAAAGGGGAAUUCAGCUGAACUCAACCAUUUCUCCUGGGACUGCCUGGGCUACAGUAGCUGGUGCUUCUGUAGACCAGGAAAGGUGAAGGCAGCACCCUCAAGGCUGGGACACUGAGUAGCUGACUCCCAUCCUUGUUGUUCAAAGCCCCUCUCCCAAGGAGCAGACCAUCUUCAGAGAAUAUUUCCAUCUGGGUGUCUAUUCUCCCUAACCAGUCACACUGAAUUCUCUUUUCAAUAGGCCAGACACUUGCUAGCGAGUUUUCUAGAGAUCACUGAUUGAGAGUAGAAUGGGACCACAGAGGUCUUCAAGUACAAAUCUUUCAUUUGACAGGGAGGGAAACCGAGUCCCAGGUGGAGGUGUGUAUCCUUCCUAAAGUCAGAAGCAGUAAAAAGGGGAGGCAGGAUUUGACCAUAAACCCUCUGACCCCCAACCCUCUUUGAAUUCUAUCAGAACAAUAGUACCCUAGAAUGCCAGGCUUCCAGGGCCACUAACUGUCACCCUUUGGACCUACAGUCAUCAAGUGAAUCAAGAGUACUUCCUCUGGGCCGCUGCUGUGGGACAUGAAGGAGGGAGGAGGUAGGUUUUGAGCCCUUGGGGGUAGCUUG
This 1267-nucleotide long non-coding RNA is filed under the name Vombatus ursinus (common wombat). RNAcentral describes it as "lncRNA (ENSVURG00010015275.1)". The record is from RNAcentral. Lineage: Eukaryota; Metazoa; Chordata; Mammalia; Diprotodontia; Vombatidae.